AAAUUGAAGAGUUUGAUCAUGGCUCAGAUUGAACGCUGGCGGCAGGCCUAACACAUGCAAGUCGAACGGUAACAGGAAGCAGCUUGCUGCUUUGCUGACGAGUGGCGGACGGGUGAGUAAUGUCUGGGAAACUGCCUGAUGGAGGGGGAUAACUACUGGAAACGGUGGCUAAUACCGCAUAACGUCGCAAGACCAAAGAGGGGGACCUUCGGGCCUCUUGCCAUCAGAUGUGCCCAGAUGGGAUUAGCUUGUUGGUGAGGUAACGGCUCACCAAGGCGACGAUCCCUAGCUGGUCUGAGAGGAUGACCAGCCACACUGGAACUGAGACACGGUCCAGACUCCUACGGGAGGCAGCAGUGGGGAAUAUUGCACAAUGGGCGCAAGCCUGAUGCAGCCAUGCCGCGUGUAUGAAGAAGGCCUUCGGGUUGUAAAGUACUUUCAGCGGGGAGGAAGGUGUUGUGGUUAAUAACCGCAGCAAUUGACGUUACCCGCAGAAGAAGCACCGGCUAACUCCGUGCCAGCAGCCGCGGUAAUACGGAGGGUGCAAGCGUUAAUCGGAAUUACUGGGCGUAAAGCGCACGCAGGCGGUCUGUCAAGUCGGAUGUGAAAUCCCCGGGCUCAACCUGGGAACUGCAUUCGAAACUGGCAGGCUUGAGUCUUGUAGAGGGGGGUAGAAUUCCAGGUGUAGCGGUGAAAUGCGUAGAGAUCUGGAGGAAUACCGGUGGCGAAGGCGGCCCCCUGGACAAAGACUGACGCUCAGGUGCGAAAGCGUGGGGAGCAAACAGGAUUAGAUACCCUGGUAGUCCACGCCGUAAACGAUGUCUACUUGGAGGUUGUGCCCUUGAGGCGUGGCUUCCGGAGCUAACGCGUUAAGUAGACCGCCUGGGGAGUACGGCCGCAAGGUUAAAACUCAAAUGAAUUGACGGGGGCCCGCACAAGCGGUGGAGCAUGUGGUUUAAUUCGAUGCAACGCGAAGAACCUUACCUGGUCUUGACAUCCACGGAAGUUUUCAGAGAUGAGAAUGUGCCUUCGGGAACCGUGAGACAGGUGCUGCAUGGCUGUCGUCAGCUCGUGUUGUGAAAUGUUGGGUUAAGUCCCGCAACGAGCGCAACCCUUAUCCUUUGUUGCCAGCGGUCCGGCCGGGAACUCAAAGGAGACUGCCAGUGAUAAACUGGAGGAAGGUGGGGA
Molecule: ribosomal RNA, 1188 nt
Filed under: Salmonella enterica subsp. enterica serovar Typhi
Lineage: Bacteria; Pseudomonadati; Pseudomonadota; Gammaproteobacteria; Enterobacterales; Enterobacteriaceae
Description: bacterial SSU rRNA
Rfam family: Bacterial small subunit ribosomal RNA
Source: RNAcentral